GUUCAAUGCUUUGUGACAGUAAGGGAGUCUUUACGGUUUUUCAAACUAAUUACUGUAAGAAAAGUAAACAAACUCUGCCUCGCAGUCUGCUAACUCUACUGGUUCGGUUUGCCUACAUUGUUAACACCAUUCAGAAUGCAUAAUCCUACAAAGAGUGGAGUUCCUACCUUUUGGGGUGCUGCUGGAGGAAAUGGCAAUCUCAGGACCUAGCCACCCCUGAGGACUUCUUUCAGAACUUGCACCUCUCUUGGUUGAGAAAACAUGCUGAGUAAGGGGAAGCAGGUCCGGUCUGUGGAAGUCAACGCCCAGGUCAUAGAUGAUCUGCACUGCCAGGCCGGUUCCAGACCUGUCCUCAAGGGAGGCUCCAUUGUUUAUGACUAAACUGAGAGGAUAUACAGUAGCCAGAUAAUUAGCCUUUGCUCUAGUGGUGGUUUCCAAAACUAGUUGUCAAAAGUAGAAAAUGUUAAGAUUAACAUCUCACACACGACAACUGGAGAACUAUUGUGUCUUGCUUUACACUAUUGGAGGCAAAGUGGAAUGGCGUUAGAGGUAAAAGAGGAGGAACAUUCCAACGUAUCCUCCCUCUGCCCUCACGUCCAGACCUGCGGCUCUCUAACCGUUUUAUGGCUCUGAGCCCCCUGACAUCACCGGGGCCCUCCGGUGAGGCCUUCCCACUCCACCUCAGCACCCAGCGCAAGCUCCUCUGUAUCUGGUCCUGGGUUAAUGAGCUGGCCAUCCCCUGGAUCAUAACACACCUCACAGGCUCACAGCGACAUUCUUGUCGUCCUCCACUAGUGGUUGUUAUAGGGAGCUCCAUAGUUAGGGAUGUGGUGGUCAUGGAAACAAGUACCCACUGCUUCCCUGGAGCCUGUGUUUGUGACAUAGAUCACCAGGACCAUGCUGUGAUGGAGAAGCAUCCAAAUUCUCACACAGUCAGCGCGGGCUCCCGAUUGGCGCAGUGGUCUAAGGCAGUGCUUGAGGUGCCACUACAGACACCCUGGUUUGAAUCCAGGCUGUAUCACAACUGGCUGUGAUUGGG
Oncorhynchus tshawytscha (Chinook salmon) is the source of this 1039-nucleotide long non-coding RNA. NCBI's taxonomy places the organism in Eukaryota, Metazoa, Chordata, Actinopteri, Salmoniformes, Salmonidae. The record is from Ensembl.